AUGUGGGUUUUUGUGAGUGCUAUACAUGGCCUUUUUCUUCUGUCAUUUAUGUCAAUACAUCAAAUAAAAUACUUUGAUCUUAUAUUAUUAGCUGUUGUUUAUUUGCAAAGGUUAUUCUCAACAGGGAUGCUAGACAAAAACGGCGUUUUCUACAGACAGCCUAGCAUACGCUCUCCACUUGCGAGUGAAAAAAGAAAAAGAAAAAACACCCCUUCCCUAUUGGUGUUAGAGUUUACCAUGUCAGCCAAUCAAAAAAAUGAUAUGGCAACAUGUGACAUUUGGUUGUUUAGGGAGAAGGGGAAGUUUUUAGGAGUGACACCCGCGACGGAAAGCGGGCGAGCGAAAGAAAGAGAGAGAGAGAGUUUUCAUAUGUGAGACAUUAGUGACGUUUAGCGUGUUUGGAGGCUAUAGUUAGUUUGUUGUGUAGUUAUUGUUUUGUAUUGUGUGUCGGUUAGACUGCUGAAUUUCAUAUUUGAUCUAAAAAAGCUGUCAAAGGCAGAUUCCAGUGUAAACGCUGUCUCCACAUAGAAAACUGGACUGUUGCACCUCCAGUUGUCAGACCUGCAGGGUUUAGGCCUGUGGUGUUCUCCUCUGUCUUAUACUGAACACAAACUACAUUUUUUGGACUGGCACAAAUAAUUUGUGUGCCUUCUUAUUUGAUGCAGCACACCUGAUUGUUCUGUAAAUAGAUUUAAAUGGUUAUAUAAAAAAACGCCUGAGGCCUUGGCUGCAUUUUUAGGUAAAUAGUACCAUAUAACUUUGUUGUUUGCAAAACUUGUGCAUAAUUUUUAGAAAUGUACAAUUUCUAUUUGCAUUUCAAGUUAUGAAAAUGAUUCGUUAAACAUGUAAAAAAAUAUAACUUUUUUCUACUCGGAUUCUGAAUUUUUUGUCUGAAUUUAGAUCAAAUGUGCUAAUAUAGUAUACCAAAAUGAAAAAAAUAACUCAAAUUUCAGAUAUUUGAGGUUGUGCUGUAAAUAAUGAUACCAAACAAGGCAAGAAAAACAUAUUUUAAAAGUGAAAUAUAGAAGUAAAAUCAAAAGUAGUCAAGAACGGCCAAUUAUACCCGGGACCCCAGAGGGUUAAAAAAAAGACUUGAAAGGACUUGAAAUUCAAAGUUUCGGACUUGGGACUUGACUUGAAAGUUGUCUGUCUUGACUUGCGACUUGACUCUGACUUGCUUGACUUUACUUGAGACUUGACUUGUGACUUGAGGAUAAAGACUUGGGACUUACUUGAGACUUGCAAAACAAUGACUUGGUCCCACCUCUGAUUUCAAUUAUACAAAGUUAGUAUACAUCUCUUUGUUCUGCAGGAGGUUUUACAGUAACAUAACUUCACAUCAUAUACAAACUUUCCAUUUCCAGUUUAUCAAAUACCACUGAACAGUCCUCACCAUUAAAUCUAACCUCUCUUAUUUCUCACCUGUUCUGGCUAUUUUAUCUUUCUCCAUCUCUGAGUGAAGUUAGCUCUCUUUCUUCUUCUCUCCCUGUGAAAUACAGCAGCUGGACCAUUAGCUAGCAGACACUGUCCGACAAACUGCACACAGUUUGAGUGGUUGCUUAUAUUUCUUGAGCUGAUAGAAACACUGCAUUUGAAAUGACGCACAGCGAC
Oreochromis niloticus (Nile tilapia) is the source of this 1611-nucleotide long non-coding RNA. Lineage: Eukaryota; Metazoa; Chordata; Actinopteri; Cichliformes; Cichlidae. The record is from Ensembl.